AUUGAACGCUGGCGGCAGGCCUAACACAUGCAAGUCGAACGGUAGCACAGAGGAGCUUGCUCCUUGGGUGACGAGUGGCGGACGGGUGAGUAAUGUCUGGGGAUCUGCCCGAUGGAGGGGGAUAACUACUGGAAACGGUAGCUAAUACCGCAUAACGUCGCAAGACCAAAGUGGGGGACCUUCGGGCCUCACACCAUCGGAUGAACCCAGAUGGGAUUAGCUAGUAGGUGGGGUAAUGGCUCACCGAGGCGACGAUCCCUAGCUGGCCUGAGAGGAUGACCAGCCACACUGGAACUGAGACACGGUCCAGACUCCUACGGGAGGCAGCAGUGGGGAAUAUUGCACAAUGGGCGCAAGCCUGAUGCAGCCAUGCCGCGUGUAUGAAGAAGGCCUUCGGGUUGUAAAGUACUUUCAGCGGGGAGGAAGGGAUGAUGGUUAAUAGCCAUUGUCAUUGACGUUACCCGCAGAAGAAGCACCGGCUAACUCCGUGCCAGCAGCCGCCGUAA
This 506-nucleotide ribosomal RNA is filed under the name uncultured bacterium. Its description in RNAcentral is "partial 16S ribosomal RNA". It matches the Rfam family "Bacterial small subunit ribosomal RNA", at positions 30 to 523 of the family's 1533-position model. The record is from RNAcentral.